This 155-nucleotide ribosomal RNA is filed under the name uncultured bacterium. RNAcentral describes it as "partial 16S ribosomal RNA". The record is from RNAcentral.
CCUACGGGAGGCAGCAGUGGGGAAUCUUACGGAAGGCAGCAACCGUAAUCCUGCCAACCGCGAAACCAUGAAGGCGUUACGCCGGUAAAGCGAGAAUCCGUAGGAAUAAAGCCGUACCCCGGGGAAGACGGUACGGGAGAGAAGCAUCGCACUAG